Molecule: ribosomal RNA, 301 nt
Filed under: uncultured bacterium
Lineage: Bacteria
Description: partial 16S ribosomal RNA
Rfam family: Bacterial small subunit ribosomal RNA
Source: RNAcentral
CAGUAGCCACGGUAAUACGUAGGUGGCAAGCGUUGUCCGGAAUUAUUGGGCGUAAAGGGCUCGCAGGCGGUUUCUUAAGUCUGAUGUGAAAGCCCCCGGCUCAACCGGGGAGGGUCAUUGGAAACUGGGAAACUUGAGUGCAGAAGAGGAGAGUGGAAUUCCACGUGUAGCGGUGAUAUGCGUAGAUAUUCGGAAGAACACCAGUGGCGAAGGCGACACACUGGCCCAUUACUGACGCUGAGGCUCGAAAGCGUGGGGAGCAAAUGGGAUUAGAGACCCCAGUAGUCCCUGUCUCUUAUAC